AUUGGAUUUUUAAUUGGUUUAGAUAAUUAUCUUAAAAUUGAUUUUAUG
RNAcentral lists this transfer RNA (48 nucleotides) under Oroperipatus sp. DVL-2011. RNAcentral's name for it is "tRNA-Lys". The record is from RNAcentral. Lineage: Eukaryota; Metazoa; Onychophora; Udeonychophora; Euonychophora; Peripatidae.